AUUAGUCUGAAAGUGCGAGCCUCUCGAAGAGAAAGAGGAACAUGAAGCCUAGGAUUUUCUCGGUUGUUUCUACGUUGCUGUUAUUUUACGCCUCAGUGGUUCGACCUAAGGAGACAACGGACAGAGUGGAAUGUCUGCACGAUGAUAGAUUCUACCGAAAUCCAAAAACUCCAGCGCACAAAAUCUGGACGCAGGAUGAAUGCGCGAAGUACUACCUCUGCUUAGAUAGCGACGUCUUUGAGUUCAAGUGUUCGCAUGGCUUACUCUUCGACGUAUCCCGUCAGAUAUGUGAUUUUAAGGCAAAUGUCGACAACUGCGACGUGAGUUUGGAGGAAAUACCCCCGAAGCCACUUCUCGACGACGGUGAAUGCGAGGAUGAUACCUUGGCAUGUGGAGACGGAACGUGUUUACCUUCCCUUUACUUUUGCGACGGAAGCGUUGAUUGUCCGGAUGCCUCGGACGAGGCCUGGUGCGAUACAGAGAAGGACCGCAACGCGGCACCGUCUUGCGACCCUGAAAAAUGCCACCUGCCAGACUGUUGGUGUUCCAAAGAAGGUACCAGAGUACCUGGAAACCUGAGCGUCUCCAACAUUCCCCAGAUGAUCUCGAUAACUUUCAACGAUGCCGUCAACGCCGAAAAUAUUGACCUUUACUCAAACAUAUUCAACGACGCGAGGAGAAAUCCGAACGGAUGCCCAAUUCGUGGUACAUUCUACGUAAGCCAUCAAUUCACAAAUUACAGAGACGUACAAAGUUUGUGGAACAAUGGCCAUGAAAUUGCAGUUCAUUCCGUAACACAUCGAGGCCCUGAAGAAUGGUGGUCGAAAAAUGCAACUAUCGAAGAUUGGUUCGACGAAAUGGUCGGGGAGGCGAAUAUCAUACACAAAUACGCGGGAGUACGAAUCGAGGAGAUCAGAGGACUGCGAGUGCCGUUUCUCCAAGUCGGAUGGAACCGUCAGUUUCUCAUGAUGACGGAGUUCGGAUUCGCCUACGAUUCGACAAUCGUAGCCCCGUUCUCGAAUCCACCGAUUUGGCCCUACACCCUAGAUCAUCAACCUCCUCACCCUUGCGGCAGCCCCGGUCAGUUGUGUCCAACACGUUCGUACCCAGGCCUCUGGGAGAUACCGAUAAACCAACUGCUGCUAGGGAAUUACACGUGCACCAUGAUUGACUCUUGUACGCGGGAUCUGUCAGGGGAAGAAAUAUAUCGUAUGCUGACGGUUAACUUUAACAGACAUUAUCUACAAAAUCGGGCACCCUAUGGACUCUACUUUCAUGCAGCUUGGUUCAAGAACCCAGCAUACCACUACGCGUUCUCGAAAUUCAUUGACGACACUCUGCAGCUUCCAGACGUUUACUUUGUAACUAGUAAUCAAAUGGUUGAAUGGAUGCGAAAUCCAACGCCGUUAAACAAGCUAAAGAAUUUUCAGCCAUGGAACUGCAACAAGCGGCAAUUCGAGCCCCGGGAAAUUGCCUGCGCCUUGCCGAACACGUGCAAGUUGUACAGUAGUGUCUUAAAGUCUGAUAGAUAUUUGUACACGUGUUACGAAUGUCCGAAACAAUAUCCCUGGUUAAGAAAUGAGUUUGGAUUGAACUAAGGUUAUUCCAAGUAGUAAAAAAACAAGUGACCGCCGGUUAAUAAUACGAAUGAUUACUGUGAAUUCCGCGUUCGUAAAAUAAGGAAAAAAGCCAUCGACCAUAAACCGAAGACGUACCGACACAUGUAGAUGGUCAACUUUAUGGAAAUGAUCUUCUGACGUGGAAUUUAGUGGGAAGUCAUAUUUGGCAAAUUUUAGUGAAUGCUGAAAUCGAUUAAUUCAUACCCAAUAUCAACGUAAUUUUGAGAGAGGAAUUCAUUACGGCUGGCAAACCGAGUUGCAAAGAGGUGGAAGAGAAAAAUAACAAAUUCAUAGCUACCAAGUUCCAGUUCCAGUUUAUUCAAUGUACCUUAGUUCUAUUACAAGUGUUCAGGUGUCAGUGUAUACUAAUUUACCAAAUUUCCAAAUAGUAUAGUUCUAAUAUGUUGCACUAAUGCAUUAUAGUAUUCAUGAUAUAAUAUAUCAAUAAUUCCUAUAAUAAUACAUUCACUGGUAUAAUUAGGAUAAUAUUUCCAACGUUAUUGGUGUUCAAGAUAAAAAGUUGCAGAACAAUGAACUAACAUGACACAAGGAGUCUAAAUACAGCAUAGGGAAAAAAUACUACGAUAUAUAUUGCAUUAAGCUGAAUAUAAACAAUGUUGUACAAAAUAAUUAUUAAUGCAGUUUCUAAGUGCGGUUUCAAUUUCAGCCUUAGUACAGGUGCAAUUCACCGUCGCAGAAAACGAGACGUGUAAUAGAAUACAAUAGAUACAAUAGAUUGGAAUGUUACGAUUUUACAUAACCUGGAAUAA
RNAcentral lists this unclassified non-coding RNA (2389 nucleotides) under Neodiprion lecontei (redheaded pine sawfly). RNAcentral's name for it is "chitin deacetylase 1, transcript variant X3". The record is from RNAcentral. Lineage: Eukaryota; Metazoa; Arthropoda; Insecta; Hymenoptera; Diprionidae.